Molecule: ribosomal RNA, 393 nt
Filed under: uncultured bacterium
Lineage: Bacteria
Description: partial 16S ribosomal RNA
Rfam family: Bacterial small subunit ribosomal RNA
Source: RNAcentral
AUACGGAGGACGCGAGCGUUAUCCGGAUUCAUUGGGUUUAAAGGGUGCGCAGGCGGCCGUGCAAGUCAGCGGUGAAAGCCCGGGGCUCAACCCCGGAAGUGCCGUUGAUACUGCAUGGCUGGAAUGCGGUCGAGGCGGGCGGGACGUGGCGUGUAGCGGGGAAAUGCGUAGAUAUGCCACAGAACGCCGAUAGCGGAGGCAGCUCGCCAGGCCUGCAUUGACGCUCGGGCACGAAAGCGUGGGGAUCGAACAGGAUUAGAUCCCCUGGUAGUCCACGCCGUAAACGAUGGGCGCUCGUCGUCGGCGGCAGACAGUCGGCGGCCAAGCGAAAGCGAUAAGCGCCCCACCUGGGGAGUACGGUCGCAAGGCUGAAACUCAAAUGAAUUGACGGGG